Molecule: long non-coding RNA, 2162 nt
Organism: Calidris pugnax (ruff)
Lineage: Eukaryota; Metazoa; Chordata; Aves; Charadriiformes; Scolopacidae
Exons: 2
Source: RefSeq, a predicted model, not a curated record
GCACAAGUUCUACCGGGGGAGCGGGGGGAGCUUCAGCAAAGCCCAGGAGGAGUGGACCACGGGGGCCUGGAAGAACCCCCACGUGCAGCAGGCGGCGCAGAACGCGGCCAUGGGGGCGGCGCAGGGGGCCAUGAUGCAGCACGAGACGCAGUACUCGGCCACCCCCAACUACACCUACUCCAACGAGAUGUGAGCAGCAGCAGGACUCUGUCCUCCGGGGCGGCGGGGAAAGGGAGGAGGAAGAGGAGGAGGAGGAAGGCUGAGCUGAGUUUCUGCAGCUAUUUUGGAGAGUCGGGAGUGUACCAUAACGGUUCUUCUUUUUCCCAGUCUUUGUAACGAGAGAAUUUUGGAUUUUUUCCUUUUUAUUUUCUUUUUCUCUUUUUUUUUUUUUCCUUUUUUUUCCUCCCGUCACCAUCUUGAGCUCUUCUUUUCUCUUUUAUUUUUCGUUUUGAAGAGGCCAUGAGUUGACCUGCAGGGCUCUCAUCGUUGUGCGUGGUGGUAGUCGGUGUACAUUCACCUUGUCUUUUUUUUUUUUUCCUCUUUUUUUCCCUGUGAAAUAGUGUAGGGUGGUGCUUUUUUAAUUAAUUGUGGUGAUAGGUGUACGUUUAGAACUACAUCAGCCAAAAGCUCCCUUCCUCCCCCCCACCUCCUGUCUGCCCCCAAACUCCCCUCAAAGGGAAAGAUAAAAACAGCAACCAGCACCCAUCUCCCCUCUUGGAAUAAGUGGUGAAACACAGGUUUUUUGCGAUGCGUGUGAGUGGGUUUUUUUUGUUUUUUUUCCUUUUGGAGUCGGUAGCAUCCAGCCACUUGCCACUUCUCAGCAAGGGCAAGCAAUCCCGGGAGUUCUCCCUUUUCUUUGCUUUUUAACUAGCAGGUGGCUGGCUGGUUUAGCAGUUAAAAAAAGAAAACAAAACAAAAAAAGGAGAAAAGGGAAGAAAAAAAAAGAAACCCUAAAUCUUGCUGGAAGCCAAGAGAUUCCUAAUCUACACCCUGGCUCAGGAUCUACAAUUUCUCUCGGUGUGUGGUGGUGUGUAAAUUAAUUCCCCGUUUUGAGGUGGCCGACCAGUAUUUGUGUGUGAGCGUGGGUGCUGUGUGUGUGUGUGUGUGAGCACACGUGUGUGUUGGGGAGCCCAGGGUGGGCUUUCCCAUCCCCUUCCAGGUUCUGCAUCCUGAGUCUGGUUGGGGGUUUUUGUUUUGUUUUGUUUUUUUAAAAUGCUUCUAUUUUGAAAAGAAAAGAUGGGCAAGCUUAUUCUUGGGGAAGGCUCUGGGCCAAAUCUUGCCGCCCCGAAUGAAAAGCACAUUCCUUCCUUCACCUUCCCAGUUCUUGCAGAAAUAGUGAGGUCAAGAUUUAACCCUUGUUGGUUUUUUGGGCCACCUGGCUGUGUAUUUUCUCCUGCCAGCCCCGAAUCCCUGCCCUGUUAGGGAAAAAUGGGGCUUUAAAUAACGAUCUUGCACCUUAGCAUGGGGUGGCUGGUGGAGCCUGGAGAAGAUGGGUUCAUAAACGGGGAGCUGAUGGGGGCAGGAGUAAGGGAAGCUCCUUCUUGGAGAUGCUUUUCAGACUCUAAACGCACUUUAAAUGAGCCAAUUUUUUUUCUCCAAGGCCUAGAAAAGAGUCCCAUCCGUCCCCGUGGCUCAAAUUGCCCGCUGUGGGCAAAGCCAGAGGUGUCUCUGUGUCCCCAACCCCUUGUCCCCUGGCUGGGACAAGGCUGGAGUGUCCCCUGGCACUCACUGGUGACACUUCUCUAGGACUCCUACCCACGAGAAUCAUCCCAUAGAGGAACUUGUCUCCUCCAGCAAAGCCCACCAAGAAGAAGCUUCCUUUCCCCAGGGUUCCACUUCAGCCCUCCUGCAGUAGGGAGCCGUCUCUGGGCAAGACUAACAUGCAGCUGGUGACACGACGUGUGUGUGUGUGCGUGCGUGUGUGUGUGUGUAUAUAUAUAUGUAUAAAAUGUAAGGAGAAAGGUAAUCCUUCGCUGAGCCUAUUAUGUACUUAAUCAGGUUUAAAUAUUGUGCAAUUCAUUUAGAGCUAGCCGAGAACUGACUAUGCCAAAAUCAACGUGCUCUUGUCAUCCGUGUCUGAGAAAACGAUGAAUUAAGUGACUUUCACCUCUUGCAUUUUACGAUGAGAUGCGUGAAUAAUAACUGUAACGAGCUCUAACGAA